UACGGAGGGUGCGAGCGUUGUCCGGAAUCACUGGGCGUAAAGGGCGCGUAGGCGGCCUGCUAAGUAGGGGGUGAAAUCCUGCGGCUUAACCGCAGAGCUGCCUUCUAAACUGUCAGGCUUGAGCACAGUAGAGGCAGGUGGAAUUCCCGGUGUAGCGGUGGAAUGCGUAGAGAUCGGGAAGAACAUCAGUGGCGAAGGCGGCCUGCUGGGCUGUAGCUGACGCUGAGGCGCGACAGCGUGGGGAGCAAACAGG
RNAcentral lists this ribosomal RNA (253 nucleotides) under uncultured bacterium. Its description in RNAcentral is "partial 16S ribosomal RNA". It matches the Rfam family "Bacterial small subunit ribosomal RNA", at positions 524 to 776 of the family's 1533-position model. The record is from RNAcentral.